CUUGGCGACCAUAGCGUUAUGGACCCACCUGAUCCCAUGCCGAACUCAGUAGUGAAACGUAGUAGCGCCGAUGGUAGUGUGGGGUCUCCCCAUGUGAGAGUAGGACAUUGCUAAGU
Molecule: ribosomal RNA, 116 nt
Filed under: Photobacterium phosphoreum
Lineage: Bacteria; Pseudomonadati; Pseudomonadota; Gammaproteobacteria; Vibrionales; Vibrionaceae
Source: RNAcentral